AAAAUGGCGGACCAAAGCUCAGGAGCUCCAAAGAGGAGCCAGGUACAGGGAGAGCAGGAAAAUAAAAGGCAGAGAGGCAUUAAACAACAAAACGUGAAGCAGCAGCAGGUGUGACGGGCGAAGCUGAAGGGUGUCACACUUGAUCUAUGAUUGGCUGUCUGUGGUCUGCAUUGCCUCAUGGGAACAAAAAGGGUGUCACACUUGGUCUCUAAUUGACUGCAGGAUGUGCCGUAUCACCUCAUAGGAAACAAGGUAGGCUGCUGUCUUAUUCAUGUUAGGGUGUA
Molecule: long non-coding RNA, 284 nt
Organism: Epinephelus moara (kelp grouper)
Lineage: Eukaryota; Metazoa; Chordata; Actinopteri; Perciformes; Serranidae
Exons: 3
Source: RefSeq, a predicted model, not a curated record